UCAAGAAUCCCAACUCGUCUUUGGCUAAGGCUCAUAAGGAGGCCGUGGGUUAGAUGCAGCGCUGACUGCAUCAAAUCUAUCUUUAUUGUCGACCCAGCAAAUCGAUGACAACCUAGACAACGACGUCGUCAAGACAUCGAUUGUGCCACCCAAUUCCUUCAUUGGCAGCUCUCUGCACAACCUCAAUGUCGUCAAUGACAACAUGGAUAACGACGACAUUUUGUCCCUUCAAGCAAAUGUGAAAUGUGAAACAGUGGUGCUUUGUUUUGGUCUUAGAUACAUCCUCCUCUUCCUCUCCGCCACUCUCGCCGACUUCUUCAUCCUCAUAAACUUCAAAUUCAAGCAGCCCUAAUUGACCCCCAUCGAUGAUAACACUCACCUCAAAAAUCUCAAAAACUCCUUCAAUCGAUUUUCGAAGGUUUGCUUAGCCAUGGAAUCUGGGUUCUGGACUUUUGUGGACAUGACCAGUUCGAAUUAAUGUAAAGGUAUGGUCAUUAGAAUCAUUGAUUCUGGUGUGUGGCCAGAAUACCCUAGCUUUGAAGAUCAUGGCAUGUCCCAGGAAAUACCAAGUAAAUGGAAAUGUUCGUGUAAAGACGCUAGAGAAGAUUUUAAUUCUUCUCUCUGUAACUUCAAGCUUGUUGGAGUGAAACACUUCAACAAAGGUUUGUUAGCUUCAAACAAAAUCAUGAAAAUAGAUGGAGAGUUCAGCUAAGGAAACUAUAGUUUAUAGGUCAUAGGAACCUUUAUUGCCGUAGGCAAUUAUGUACAAGGUGUUCAACAGAUUCAACAAAUUGAC
Rosa rugosa (rugosa rose) is the source of this 796-nucleotide long non-coding RNA. RefSeq lists it as uncharacterized. The record is from RefSeq and is a predicted model, not a curated record. The transcript is spliced from 3 exons. NCBI's taxonomy places the organism in Eukaryota, Viridiplantae, Streptophyta, Magnoliopsida, Rosales, Rosaceae.